This 381-nucleotide transfer-messenger RNA is filed under the name Candidatus Halobeggiatoa sp. HSG11. It matches the Rfam family "transfer-messenger RNA". Rfam says of the family: Bacterial tmRNA, also known as 10Sa RNA or SsrA, is named for its dual tRNA and mRNA-like properties. Its role is to liberate the mRNA from a stalled ribosome. The record is from RNAcentral. RNAcentral also lists the same sequence under 1 other name. Lineage: Bacteria; Pseudomonadati; Pseudomonadota; Gammaproteobacteria; Thiotrichales; Thiotrichaceae.
GGGGGUGACAAGGUUUCGACAUGGGUUACAAAACUUGAGGUGCAUGUCGAAGAGCAGCAUACUUCGUAAAAAUUAACUGCAAACUAAGUUAUAGUCGCCAACGACGAAACUUACGCCCUAGCUGCUUAAAAACGGCUAGCCUUUGACUGAAAUGUGCUUAUGCACUCAGAGUUUGUUUUUUUUGCAAACAUUCAAAGGUCACAUUUCAUAAGCUCGCAGACAUAUACGUCAGGGAUAUUUCUGUUAAAUUUAACCUGAAUCACCAUUAGAUUAUCCUGCCUAUCGGAUAACUGAUUGGCUAGUUAAAAAGAUACGGCUAAACAUGUAGAUCCAAAAGCAGCGGACUUGUGGACGCGAGUUCGAUUCUCGCCACCUCCACCA